Molecule: ribosomal RNA, 400 nt
Filed under: uncultured bacterium
Lineage: Bacteria
Description: bacterial SSU rRNA
Rfam family: Bacterial small subunit ribosomal RNA
Source: RNAcentral
GGGGAAUAUUGCACAAUGGGGGAAACCCUGAUGCAGCAACGCCGCGUGAGUGAUGACGGUCUUCGGAUUGUAAAGCUCUGUCUUUAGGGACGAUAAUGACGGUACCUAAGGAGGAAGCCACGGCUAACUACGUGCCAGCAGCCGCGGUAAUACGUAGGUGGCAAGCGUUGUCCGGAUUUACUGGGCGUAAAGGGAGCGUAGGUGGAUAUUUAAGUGGGAUGUGAAAUACUCGGGCUUAACCUGGGUGCUGCAUUCCAAACUGGAUAUCUAGAGUGCAGGAGAGGAAAGGAGAAUUCCUAGUGUAGCGGUGAAAUGCGUAGAGAUUAGGAAGAAUACCAGUGGCGAAGGCGCCUUUCUGGACUGUAACUGACACUGAGGCUCGAAAGCGUGGGGAGCAAAC